GACGAACGCUGGCGGCGUGCUUAACACAUGCAAGUCGAGCGGUAAGGCCCCUUCGGUGGUACACGAGCGGCGACCGGGUGCGUAACACGUGCGCAAUCUGCCCAUCACAUUGGGAUAACUCCGGGAAACCGAAGCUAGUACCGAAUACGACCACUUCCUGCAUCGGCUGGUGGCGGUAAUUUCCGGCGGUGUUGGAUGAGCUCGCGGCCUAUCAUCUUGUUGGUGGGCUAACGGCCCACCAAGGCUUCGACGGGUAGCCGGCCUGGGAGCCGGGCCGGCCACACUGGGACUACGAGACGGACCAGAAUGCUACGGGAGGCAGCGGUGGAAAAUAUUAGACAAUGGGCGAACGCCAGAUCCAGCAACGCCGCGUGAGGGAUGACGGCCUUCGGGUUGUAAACCACUUUCAGCAGAGACGAAGCGCAAGUGACGGUACCUGCAGAAAAAGCACCGGCCAACUACGUG
This 465-nucleotide ribosomal RNA is filed under the name uncultured bacterium. RNAcentral describes it as "partial 16S ribosomal RNA". It matches the Rfam family "Bacterial small subunit ribosomal RNA", at positions 28 to 507 of the family's 1533-position model. The record is from RNAcentral.